Molecule: ribosomal RNA, 402 nt
Rfam family: Eukaryotic large subunit ribosomal RNA
Source: Rfam
AAUGUUGUUGCAAUAGUAAUUGAACUUGGUACGAGAGGAACCGUUCAUUCGGAUAAUUGGUAUUUGGGCUUGCCUGAGCAGGCAAUGGACCAAAGCUAUCAUCCGUUGGGUUAUGGCUGAACGCCUCUUAAUCAGAACCCGUGCUAGAUCGCGACGACUACCGCCUUUUUCAAUUUUUAGUUGAAUACGAAUAGAUCUUCGGAUCCUGAAUCAUACCACAAGGGGUCGAUCUUGCAGAGCGGAAAGACUUUGUGAGGUUCCUCCUAAUGUUAGGUUCAAAUAUUGAAAGAGAUAAAUCCAUUGCAGACGACUUUAAUUGAACGGGAGUAUUGUAAGCAGUACAGUAGCCUUGUUGCUAGUUGCUACGAUCUGCUGAGAUUAAGCCCAUUGUUCUAUAGAUUU